UCCGACGUUGUGCAAGGCGCACACCUGCCAACAAUAGACCCUAUACCCCCUACUUGUGAGCAGGGAACCUGGGUUCGAUUCCCAGCGUCGGAA
Mycena galericulata is the source of this 93-nucleotide non-coding RNA. The record is from the annotation of a GenBank genome assembly. Lineage: Eukaryota; Fungi; Basidiomycota; Agaricomycetes; Agaricales; Mycenaceae.